GACGAACGCUGGCGGCGUGCUUAACACAUGCAAGUCGAACGAUGAAGCCGGAGCUUGCUCUGGUGAAUUAGUGGCGAACGGGUGAGUAACACGUGAGUAACCUGCCCUUGACUCUGGGAUAACUGCGGGAAACUGUAGCUAAUACCGGAUACGACCCUCGGAGGCAUCUCCUGGGGGUGGAAAGAAUUUCGGUCAAGGAUGGACUCGCGGCCUAUCAGCGAGUUGGUGAGGUAAAGGCUCACCAAGGCGACGACGGGUAGCCGGCCUGAGAGGGGGACCGGCCACACUGGGACUGGGACACGGACCAGACUCCUACGGGAGGCAGCAGUGGGGAAUAUUGCACAAUGGGCGCAAGCCUGAUGCAGCAACGCCGCGUGAGGGAUGACGGCCUUCGGGUUGUAAACCUCUUUUAGCAGGGAAGAAGCGAAAGUGACGGUACCUGCAGAAAGAGCACCGGCUAACUACGUGCCAGCCGCCGCCGUAA
Molecule: ribosomal RNA, 484 nt
Filed under: uncultured bacterium
Lineage: Bacteria
Description: partial 16S ribosomal RNA
Rfam family: Bacterial small subunit ribosomal RNA
Source: RNAcentral